Molecule: long non-coding RNA, 327 nt
Organism: Macrosteles quadrilineatus (aster leafhopper)
Lineage: Eukaryota; Metazoa; Arthropoda; Insecta; Hemiptera; Cicadellidae
Exons: 5
Source: RefSeq, a predicted model, not a curated record
UUCACCGCUCCAGCUGAGAGCACGUCCGCGUCACUCGACCUCACACACGCUCGCGAGUGACACACUUGGAUAGAACUAUUUACUAAAAUUGUGUUGUGGAAUGAUGACAACUCUUCCCUGGAAGUUGUAAAGAUUCGUUAGCAUCCAGUUGAGAUUAUCUGUUUCUGAGAUGUGAUGGAACUUGGUAUUCGAGGUUCUGAGAAUUAAGCUGCUACUGAAUCUACUGAAGUUGAUGGACGGUGAGGAGGUGUGAGGGUGAGGCGCCGAGAUGAGUCCCCGGACGAGGCGUCGCGUAGCCCCACAGCAAGGGCCUCACAUCCAAGGCUA